CUGGAGUAGGUGCUGGGAGUAUGUUGUGUGCUUGCAACGCGUACAGCCCUGUGCAUGUGCAUGCCGUGGCGGGCAGUGGCGUCAGCAAGUAGUGCUGUGCCGGAGCUGGGACAUAGGCUGGGGGCAACAGCAACCUCACCCCGCACGCUGUAACAAUGGCACAUCCCGUGCGGCAGAAUAUUUAGCUGUGCCGGAGCUGGGACGUAGGCUGGGGCAACAGCAACCUCAACCCGCACGCUGUAACAAUGGCACAUCCCGUGUGGCAGAAUAUUUAGCUGUGCCGGAGCCGGGACGUAGGCUGGGGCAACAGCAACCUCACCCCGCACGCUGUAACAAUGGCACAUCCCGUGCGGCAGAAUAUUUAGCUGUGCCGGAGCUGGGACGUAGGCUGGGGCAACAGCAAC
RNAcentral lists this long non-coding RNA (404 nucleotides) under Chlamydomonas reinhardtii. RNAcentral's name for it is "long non-coding RNA (CREI_LNC001217)". The record is from RNAcentral. Lineage: Eukaryota; Viridiplantae; Chlorophyta; Chlorophyceae; Chlamydomonadales; Chlamydomonadaceae.